CAAGGAAAUGGGCCAUCAUCUCUGCCUUUCAGUGCAGCAUGUCCUCUGUCCUCUUGACAGUAUUUCAGGUCUAUGUUUUGGCAUCUACUGACUUCUUCUGGCUAGAAAGAAAAAUGCUGAAAAAACGAAGUGGAGACCAGAGAAGACACAGGAAAGGUAUUAACUUUACAAUGUCCUAUGAUAUUGAAGGAGGGGGCGUGUAGGAGUGAAGGACAG
Molecule: long non-coding RNA, 216 nt
Filed under: Gallus gallus (chicken)
Lineage: Eukaryota; Metazoa; Chordata; Aves; Galliformes; Phasianidae
Source: RNAcentral